Molecule: long non-coding RNA, 1920 nt
Organism: Aethalodelphis obliquidens (Pacific white-sided dolphin)
Lineage: Eukaryota; Metazoa; Chordata; Mammalia; Artiodactyla; Delphinidae
Exons: 3
Source: RefSeq, a predicted model, not a curated record
AUUCACACGUAACCAACAUGGUUUCUAAAGGAAAAAAAAAACAACCUAGAAAACCAUGCUAGACAAAACUGAUGUUGAAAAGAUCUGAGUGGGCAAGUCCAGUUAUUGACAAGUUAUUUGAAUUUCCCGAAAUUCAAAUUUCAGGAAAGCAUCGAAGAAAGAAAUUUUUUUGUUGUUUUAACUGCCCAAAUGGAAUUUUAAGUGAAGGUCUGUAAACUGCAGUUCUGUGGAUAUAAUCACCAACAAGGAGAGGCCUAGCGUUCCUGUUUCAUUGCUUUAAAUUUAUUAUGAAAAACUAAUAAAUGUAUUUCAGGUUCAGGAACAAAAUGGGUCAGUAACACCCAAAAUAAAAAGGUGCUUCUCUGCUUAUAGCAGUGGUUCUAAACUAGGGGCAAUCUUGCCUCCUAGGUGGUGUUCUUCCAUGUCUGUGACCAUUUUGGUUGUCACAACUGGGGUGGAGGAUGCUAUUAGCAUCCGGCGAGUAGAGGCCAGGGAUGCUGCUAAAAAUCUUAUAAUGCACAAAAGAACUCCUCCCCGGCAACGAAGAAUUAUUCGGCCCAAAUAGCAAGAGCGGACAGCUUGAGAAGCCCUGCUUACGGAAGCACGGGUUUUACAACAUGCGGGGGGGCUAUCUGCAGGGUUUUUUUGUGUUCUUGUUUUCCUCCUCAAUUCUAGAUCAGCCAUUACCUAGAAGCAGACAGCUGCUACAUCCAGCGCAGCCAGCCCUGUGUUGAUACGCAGAGGUGUGUUUCCAAUGGGUGCCUGCUUGUGCUUUGCUGUGGCUUAGGAAAACGGAAGCCGUAUGUGCACGGCAGCAAGCUGGGAGAGGGAGAAGCUGAGGCAGAGAAUACAGACCUAUGCUUCCUGGCUUCGCCGGGGCGGAGGGGCCGCCGCUGCAAACAAACACCGCUGAACCUUUUCACCUUUGGUUGCAGGAGGUGUAGAGCGAGGCUGGGAAACGCAGAGACCAAGCCCCCAGCUAAAACCCAGUCAGACGUAUCCCUCCUCCCUCAGGCGUGGAGGCAGACCGCUGGGACACAGGGACGCUGUUACAGAAAUGCAGGCCCGCAAACAAACUGGCAUUUCCAGUCUCCUCAAUCCCCUUCUAUUAUUUUCUACCGAGUUACUGUGCUGGUACUGUUUUAUCUUUUAAAAAAGCUGUCCUGAAACUUCCCUUCUCUUCUUGAUUUCCCAGUGGCUCACCAUGAAAAAUAAAGUGCAGUGACUCAGGCAGCGCGUGAGAAGGCUGGCACCUUGGGACAUUCCCGUCGGGGCGAAGGACUCUGUCCUCUCCAAGGGUCCCCUCCAUCUCCUCCAAAUACAGACAGCGGGCCAAGCCUCAGAGGAGGUGAGCGGGAGUGAAGAAGUUCAUCUCCAAGGAAGGUUGCUCCUGAGGCUCAUUUAUACAAGAAAAUAAAAGUCCACGUGCCUCACUGGAAACCAUGUCACCAUCAGAUACCACUGGGGAAGAAGCAGAGAUGGAUACAAGGGGGCAGGGUGCAGUGUGACUCCCCCCAGCCUGGGAGCCCUGAGGUGAAGGCUACGUGGAGUUGCUGUGCAGAGGAUGGAAUUACAAGCCUGCAUCUGAGACAAAGGUUCUUUAUGCUGCGUCUGCACGUUAAUUAGCUGCUGGAAACUUCGGGACAGGGCCAUUAACAUGCUCAUAAACCUUUGAUUUCAAAUGUUUCUGCUCAGCCGCGAUUCUGAUGUGACUCCCCUUGGAAGCUGGAUGGAGGACGUUUGUUUCUUAACACUUACGAGGCGCAGAACUCCUCCAGCCCCGUGCCUCAUGAACUAGCCCAUUAAGGAUGUCGCCUCCUGCAGGCAGAAGCCUCCACUUGGCCUCCCAGAGCCUUGGAGGGCACCUAAUUGGGACAGCGUGAGGCCCCAAGGGAGCUCGAGGCUGGCGUGCGGCGAGGG